UACGGAGGAUCCAAGCGUUAUCCGGAUUUAUUGGGUUUAAAGGGUGCGUAGGCGGCCUAUUAAGUCAGGGGUGAAAGACGGUAGCUUAACUAUCGCAGUGCCCUUGAUACUGAUGGGCUUGAAUGUACUAGAGGUAGGCGGAAUGUGACAAGUAGCGGUGAAAUGCAUAGAUAUGUCACAGAACACCAGUGGCGAAGGCGGCUCACUGGCCCGGUACUGACGCUGAGGUGCGAAAGCGUGGGGAGCAAACAGG
RNAcentral lists this ribosomal RNA (253 nucleotides) under uncultured bacterium. RNAcentral describes it as "partial 16S ribosomal RNA". It matches the Rfam family "Bacterial small subunit ribosomal RNA", at positions 524 to 776 of the family's 1533-position model. The record is from RNAcentral.